CUCUCUCAGUCUCUCUCUUCUGCAACUCUCUCUUUCUCUCUUCUGCAACCUCCUCUUUCACCACCUCUAGACCACCAAAUGGCGAGCUGCGAGCAUCGAUAGACUCGUCUCUUCCUCCUUAUCACGCAUGUGGGAGUUGUUUACGACGAUUUGGCCGGAAAUGUGGAGAUCGAAGCCAACAUUUUUACUGUAGCAAAUUAGUCAACGCCGAUUUCCGGCCACCUCCAGUCAUAAACCCAGGUCCAUUAGAAGCGCCUUAAGCCGCUCUUCAUGCUCGCCAAGUCUCAUAACCCAGAUCGAAGCAUGGAGGAAGAAAGCAUAAUUGGAAAAUUUCACUGUACAUCGGAGUGCUUAAUUGUUCGGCUACUUCAAGGUGAUUGACGGUUUGAGUUGGUGGACGAUUGUGGAUCGUAUUUUGAGCUGAAUUGAAGACGCAGCGGGAUUAUCGAGCGGGUAAUCCUACAGGACAGGAGAACCAGGACGGUGACCGUGCGGUUAGAGCAAUUGUUAGAGUUUUACAGCAAUUGUAAGUUGUGAGGUGUGUUAUGCUCAUUUAGAGCUUUACAAUAUUGCUUGUGAGAGUGAAUUGUAAUAAUGAACUCGAGGUUUCGAGAUUUGGAGUUUGUGUACCUUGUGGUGAGAUUAUAUUGAGAAAAAAAUUCAGAACGUUUAUUUGAUUAAGUGGUUUAAUUCAUGUUUCGGAUUUGAAUUUAUUAUUCAAAAUUCGGGGCGUGACAGUUUGGUAUCAGAGCGUAAGGUACAUAUUUGGUGAUAAUCAGUACCUCCCGAGUGAUGGCCCGUCUGCAGCGGAUCCCCAUCAUAUACUCUUCGGUACUGGUAAAAUCAUUGGGUAUGUCUUAGUAUGGGGUCUAGACAACGUGUAAGUCCGUAGGACGGUAGAGUUGUCUACUAAGUUCGUAUUAGAAUAAGUUUAGUUUCCGCGAGUUGUGAUCUUCGAGGAAUAGGAACCUCUGGAUUUAACUCUGAUGAGUCGGUGAGGUAGAGGUCGAGUCUGAUGUAGGGACAUGACCUUUCUAUGGAGACAGUUGAGGAUGAGGUGGAGGCAUUAGAGGUUGAGUUGCCUAGUCUACCUGUAGUUGAUGUGAUGGAUGUUAUUCUUGGGUUGAAAUGGUGAAAGAGAUUGAGACCCUAGGAAUAGUUGAAAAGAGAAUUGAUCUCACCAACUCAAGAUGAUAGG
Molecule: long non-coding RNA, 1198 nt
Organism: Rosa rugosa (rugosa rose)
Lineage: Eukaryota; Viridiplantae; Streptophyta; Magnoliopsida; Rosales; Rosaceae
Exons: 3
Source: RefSeq, a predicted model, not a curated record